Molecule: ribosomal RNA, 501 nt
Filed under: Pseudomonas sp.
Lineage: Bacteria; Pseudomonadati; Pseudomonadota; Gammaproteobacteria; Pseudomonadales; Pseudomonadaceae
Description: bacterial SSU rRNA
Rfam family: Bacterial small subunit ribosomal RNA
Source: RNAcentral
CAGUCGAGCGGAUGAAGAGAGCUUGCUCUCUGAUUCAGCGGCGGACGGGUGAGUAAUGCCUAGGAAUCUGCCUGGUAGUGGGGGACAACGUCUCGAAAGGGACGCUAAUACCGCAUACGUCCUACGGGAGAAAGCAGGGGACCUUCGGGCCUUGCGCUAUCAGAUGAGCCUAGGUCGGAUUAGCUAGUUGGUGAGGUAAUGGCUCACCAAGGCGACGAUCCGUAACUGGUCUGAGAGGAUGAUCAGUCACACUGGAACUGAGACACGGUCCAGACUCCUACGGGAGGCAGCAGUGGGGAAUAUUGGACAAUGGGCGAAAGCCUGAUCCAGCCAUGCCGCGUGUGUGAAGAAGGUCUUCGGAUUGUAAAGCACUUUAAGUUGGGAGGAAGGGCAGUAAAUUAAUACUUUGCUGUUUUGACGUUACCGACAGAAUAAGCACCGGCUAACUCUGUGCCAGCAGCCGCGGUAAUACAGAGGGUGCAAGCGUUAAUCGGAAUUACU